This 362-nucleotide RNase P RNA is filed under the name human gut metagenome. RNAcentral's name for it is "Bacterial RNase P class A". It matches the Rfam family "Bacterial RNase P class A". Rfam says of the family: Ribonuclease P (RNase P) is a ubiquitous endoribonuclease, found in archaea, bacteria and eukarya as well as chloroplasts and mitochondria. Its best characterised activity is the generation of mature 5'-ends of tRNAs by cleaving the 5'-leader elements of precursor-tRNAs. The record is from RNAcentral.
GUGGGACGGUCUGUCGCUACCACGCUAUUCGUUAGCGUGUUAGAGGAAAGUCCGGGCAACACAGGGCACUAUGCUUCUUAACGGGAAGUCGGCCGCGAGGUCGAACGCAACGCAAUAGAAAACAACCGCCCCUCUUCGGAGGAGCAAGGGUGGAAAGGCGAGGUAAGAGCUCACCGCAUCGGGUGGCAACACAAGGUGGCUGAGGCGUGUCAUAGGUUGAAAGACCAAGUAAACCAAUGUUUGAGGGCUGCCCGCUCGAGUUGGAGGGUAGGUCGAUAGAGGCUGUUGGCAACAGCAGUCGGAGAUAAAUGACAGACACCGUUCUUGCAACGGCACAGAACCCGGCUUACAGGCCCACUUCU